RNAcentral lists this ribosomal RNA (256 nucleotides) under uncultured bacterium. Its description in RNAcentral is "partial 16S ribosomal RNA". It matches the Rfam family "Bacterial small subunit ribosomal RNA", at positions 521 to 776 of the family's 1533-position model. RNAcentral also lists the same sequence under 1 other name. The record is from RNAcentral.
UAAUACGGAGGGAGCGAGCGUUGUUCGGAAUCACUGGGCGUAAAGCGUACGUAGGCGGUCCUGCAAGUCAGGAGUGAAAGCCCAGGGCUUAACCUUGGAAUUGCUCUUGAAACUGCAAGACUAGAGUCCCGGAGAGGUUGGCGGAAUUCCGAGUGUAGAGGUGAAAUUCGCAGAUAUUCGGAGGAACACCAGUGGCGAAAGCGGCCAACUGGACGGGAACUGACGCUGAGGUACGAAAGCGUGGGGAGCAAACAGG